RNAcentral lists this ribosomal RNA (468 nucleotides) under uncultured bacterium. RNAcentral describes it as "partial 16S ribosomal RNA". It matches the Rfam family "Bacterial small subunit ribosomal RNA", at positions 28 to 507 of the family's 1533-position model. The record is from RNAcentral.
GACGAACGCUGGCGGCGUGCUUAACACAUGCAAGUCGAACGGAAAGGCCCUGCUUUUGUGGCUUUCUCGAGUGGCGAACGGGUGUGUAACACGUGAGUAACCUGCCCUUGACUUUGGGAUAACUUCAGGAAACUGGGGCUAAUACCGGAUAUGAGCUCCUGCUGCAUGUUGGUGUUUGGAAAGUUUCGGCGGUUGGGGAUGGACUCGCGGCUUAUCAGCUUUUUGGUGGGGUAGUGGCUUACCAAGGCUUUGACGGGUAGCCGGCCUGAGAGGGUGACCGGCCACAAGGGGACUGAGAUACGGACCAGACGCCUACGGGAGGCAGCAGGGGGGAAUAUGGCAGAAUGGGCGGAAGCCUGAUGCAGCAACGCCGCGUGCGGGAUGACGGCCUUCGGGGUGUAAACAGCUGUGGCAGGUGACGAAGAGUGAGUGACGGUAAUGGGUAAAGAAGCAACGGCUAACUACGUG